UACGGGGGGGGCAAGCGUUGUUCGGAAUUACUGGGCGUAAAGGGCUCGUAGGCGGCCAACUAAGUCGGACGUGAAAUCCCUCGGCUUAACCGGGGAACUGCGUCCGAUACUGGAUGGCUUGAGUUCGGGAGAGGGAUGCGGAAUUCCAGGUGUAGCGGUGAAAUGCGUAGAUAUCUGGAGGAACACCGGUGGCGAAGGCGGCAUCCUGGACCGGUAUUGACGCUGAGGCGCGAAAGCCAGGGGAGCAAACGGG
This 253-nucleotide ribosomal RNA is filed under the name uncultured bacterium. RNAcentral's name for it is "partial 16S ribosomal RNA". It matches the Rfam family "Bacterial small subunit ribosomal RNA", at positions 524 to 776 of the family's 1533-position model. The record is from RNAcentral.